GAUCUUAAUCUUCUUUUCUAUAUCAUGGUAUGUCUCUUAUGACUCAAUUAUAGAAGCUGCAGAAGUGCAGAUGAGUUGGGCGCUAUUAGCCAUUCCUAUACUACUUCUAAUGGCAGUCCACUUGGUGUCAUCCAUGGAAAAUUCUGACCUCUUCUCUGCUUCCUCGCCCUAUGGUUAUCGCCGCCGCAGCUACCAUAGUCCUCAGGAAGGCAGCUCUCCAUGGGGCGUGGCUGCUUUAAUUGUGUUGUUGCUUAUUAUGGUGCAAUACCAGUCUGUGUUCCAUGAUAGCUGGCUUGUUUAGUAUGUUAAUUGUUACUGAGUAUGAUGUGUUUAGGUUGAAAUAUGUGAUUUGAAUAACUGGGUUUUGUGUAUAAUAUGACUAUAGUGAGUUAAAUUAUCUGUUUUUAGGGUUUGGAUU
RNAcentral lists this long non-coding RNA (418 nucleotides) under Vitis vinifera (wine grape). RNAcentral's name for it is "long non-coding RNA (VVIN_LNC000604)". Lineage: Eukaryota; Viridiplantae; Streptophyta; Magnoliopsida; Vitales; Vitaceae. The record is from RNAcentral.